GGGUGCUUCGGAUCGGGAGUAACCACUAGUGAGAGGGCAAAAAUUGGAGGGAAGGACAAAGGAAAGAGCGAUGCCUGCAUUAAAUCAAUUGAUUCGUCAUGGUAGAGAAGAAAAACGGCCAACAUAAUACUUUGUUAUAUAAACCUAGGGCUAUUUACGAUUAGAAAGUUAAGAGGUCUUAGAUCUGCAAGCCCUACAUCUUUGAUGCAGGGGCGGAGCUAGAUUGGGGGAGCGGAUUCAGCCGAACCCAAUAGCUUUAGUUUGAACUCUAUUUUUUUCUUUUGAAGUCUGUUUGAAUAUAUAAAAAUUAUUAAUUUAGAACCUAAUAACUUAAAUAAAUUAGAAUCCCCGAACCCAUAAGCUUGAAAUCAUGCCUUUCGCCUCUACUUUGAUGCAACCAUUGAUUCUCAUGAGAGGUCACAAUUGUUGCGCAGGAAGGCAUUUUUGUUAUUCUACUAAUACUUGCUCUGCUCUACUCUGUACGGGCGUAAAACAAAAGCACCUUAAAGGUCCAACAUUAUCAACUGAACACAUUUCCAUGUAAAAUUAGGCGUAUAUUCAUCAAAACUGUUUCUUUACAGCUCAAUAUAUCUUCAUUUUCUGAGUUACAAAAUAGAUUCAUAAUCUAUGAACUGGUCUCCAUUGCCAGAUAGCAAAGGCUGCAAUAAAUACUCGUCUAAAAAUGGUUUACCCCAUGCAGGAAGUGCUCCGCGGCUAGUGUCUGAGUAUGGACUGGUAGGUGUAUAUUGUACAGAAUAAAUACUUAGCUUGCAUGAGAAAAAAUCAUGUCUUUUGAAACAGAUCAAAGAGAGUUUCUGGCUUGUCUGCAUCCCCAAUAUCCACAUUCUCUUGUAUAUCGAUAACCAGAGGUUCAGAUGAAUGCCUCUCAUUAUCUGCAUUCUCCUCUGUAUCAGUGACCAGAUAUUCGGAUGAAUAUUGCCUAUUUCUGAAGGAAAGUUCAUGUGAGGUUUCAACAAUGCAAUCUUCUUGUUGAUCAUUUGACAG
This 1005-nucleotide long non-coding RNA is filed under the name Nicotiana benthamiana. Its description in RNAcentral is "long non-coding RNA (NBEN_LNC032000)". The record is from RNAcentral. Lineage: Eukaryota; Viridiplantae; Streptophyta; Magnoliopsida; Solanales; Solanaceae.